UUAUAGGACUGGUUCACACGGCUGGGCAGACCUGAAUUCAUACAGCCUCUGGUGGUUUUCAGAUGGAAGAAAACAGAAUUGUGACCAGCAGCCAGGGAUCUCCUCAACUGAAAUAAAGCCCAAAAGUGAAGGUGUGUGUGUCUGAGGGGAGAUGUAGAAAACCCCAAUUUACAUUGGAAAUUAGACUUUUGUGGAAGGAAAGCCAAGGUUGUUGCUCAAGCUUACAAAUUACUACCAGAGGAAGUGUCUCAGGAAACCGGUGACAUGUUUGUGUUCCGGUUCCCUAUUGUCUGCAAAGAUGACCAAGGGAACUGGAAUAGUUUCAGAGCAAGCUCCACCUAGUUCUUCUGGCCAGGAAAAGAGUUGUCACCCUAUACGAACACCUGCAAGGACAAGGCUGUCAAUUACUUACUGUAACCAAGUACAUCAGACCUGGAAAGGUAGAUAACAAGUACAGUAUUCCAGGAAUACAGAAAACUAUAGAGGCAAAUAGAAAGCUGUUAAACUAUCAUACUCAACCAGGCCUCAAACUCCUUAGCUGCAGGAGCGACGUUAAAAUACUACCCCAAAGUUAACUUGCAAGUCUGAUGUUUGGAAGGACCUU
Long non-coding RNA from Pezoporus flaviventris, 604 nucleotides. RefSeq lists it as uncharacterized. The transcript has 5 exons. NCBI's taxonomy places the organism in Eukaryota, Metazoa, Chordata, Aves, Psittaciformes, Psittacidae. The record is from RefSeq and is a predicted model, not a curated record.